UGAAUAUAAGACAAUAAAUCUUAAGAAUAAAGAACUAAAACUAACUAAUCAAUCUCACUUCCAUAAGUAUGAUAAAUUAAUUAAGGACAAGGAUUUUAUCAUUAAAGAAAAUUUAGAACUUAAAACAAGCAACCAAAUGUUAAUUCAAAAAACUAAUACCUUAAUUAAAGAUAACGAAAAACUAACCAAGGAAAUUUCAGAACUUAAAAAAGGUAAACAAACUUUAAAAGA
Molecule: long non-coding RNA, 231 nt
Filed under: Phoenix dactylifera (date palm)
Lineage: Eukaryota; Viridiplantae; Streptophyta; Magnoliopsida; Arecales; Arecaceae
Description: long non-coding RNA (PDAC_LNC007524)
Source: RNAcentral